Long non-coding RNA from Rhodamnia argentea, 141 nucleotides. RefSeq lists it as uncharacterized. The transcript has 3 exons. The record is from RefSeq and is a predicted model, not a curated record. Lineage: Eukaryota; Viridiplantae; Streptophyta; Magnoliopsida; Myrtales; Myrtaceae.
UUUCAGAUUUCAGAAACCCAUCCAGACACUUUAACCAACAAAAGAGGAGACCUUUUUGUUGAUCAUUGUAUAUGUAAAAGCUUUUGCUGUUACGAAUUAUACCACCAUCUUAUUGGAAGCUCCCACAAUUAUUGAAUUAGC